Thunnus maccoyii (southern bluefin tuna) is the source of this 323-nucleotide long non-coding RNA. RefSeq lists it as uncharacterized. The record is from RefSeq and is a predicted model, not a curated record. The transcript has 4 exons. NCBI's taxonomy places the organism in Eukaryota, Metazoa, Chordata, Actinopteri, Scombriformes, Scombridae.
UUGGCAAAGUUCAUCAUUGUGGCUGUGGGUUUAGCAUCACUCUUAAUAAUUGUUUUGGUGAUCAUCAGAUGGAAGAAAACUAAAGGGAAGAAAACACAGAUGGAUGAAAACAUUGCUGAUCCUGAAGAUGGUGUUUCCUACGUCUCCAUCAGCUUCACCAAGAAGACCAACAGUAAAGCCCGGGUUGGUGGCGAUGGUGAUGAUGAAGGUGAUGCAGUGACCUACAGCACUGUGAAAGCUUCCUCCUCUUCUGCUGGAGCCUCCACUGAUCCCAGUAACCUCUACGCUACCAUCAACUAACCCAACAAAUAACAGACCACAGU